AGGCUGCAGUAGGGAAUAUUGGGCAAUGGGCGGAAGCCUGACCCAGCCACGCCGCGUGCAGGAAGACGGCCCUCUGGGUUGUAAACUGCUUUUGAUUGGGAAGAAAGCAGCUCAUGCGUGAGAAUUUGACGGUACCAAUCGAAUAAGCCACGGCUAACUACGUGCCAGCAGCCGCGGUAAUACGUAGGUGGCGAGCGUUAUCCGGAUUUAUUGGGUUUAAAGGGAGCGUAGGCGGCUGAUUAAGUCAGCGGUGAAAGGUAGCAGCUUAACUGUUUUACAUGCCGUUGAUACUGGUUAGCUUGAGUUGACAGAAGGCAGAUAGAAUUCCUGGUGUAGCGGUGAAAUGCUUAGAUACCAGGAGGAAUACCGAUUGCGAAGGCAGUCUGCUGCAGUCACACUGACGCUGAGGCUCGAAGGUGCGGGGAUCAAACAGGAUUAGAUACCCUGGUAGUC
RNAcentral lists this ribosomal RNA (453 nucleotides) under uncultured Emticicia sp. Its description in RNAcentral is "bacterial SSU rRNA". It matches the Rfam family "Bacterial small subunit ribosomal RNA", at positions 346 to 795 of the family's 1533-position model. The record is from RNAcentral. Lineage: Bacteria; Pseudomonadati; Bacteroidota; Cytophagia; Cytophagales; Leadbetterellaceae.